AUACGGACGGUGCAAGCGUUACUCGGAAUCACUGGGCAUAAAGCGCGCGCAGGCGGCUUGGUAAGUUGGAUGUGAAAGCCUACGGCUCAACCGUAGAACUGCAUCCAAAACUGUCAAGCUAGAGUGUGGGAGAGGAAGAUGGAAUUAGUUGUGUAGGGGUAAAAUCCGUAGAGAUAACUAGGAAUACCAAAAGCGAAGGCAAUCUUCUGGAACACUACUGACGCUGAGGCGCGAAAGCGUGGGGAGCAAACGGGAUUAGAAACCCUUGUAGUCC
RNAcentral lists this ribosomal RNA (274 nucleotides) under uncultured bacterium. Its description in RNAcentral is "partial 16S ribosomal RNA". It matches the Rfam family "Bacterial small subunit ribosomal RNA", at positions 523 to 796 of the family's 1533-position model. The record is from RNAcentral.